UAAAUUAAAGCCAAAAAGAGGCAUUUUAUUGUUAAUAAAAUAAUUGAAUUAAAAUAUUCUAAUUUAA
RNAcentral lists this transfer RNA (67 nucleotides) under Bombus hypocrita hypocrita. Its description in RNAcentral is "tRNA-Asn". The record is from RNAcentral. Lineage: Eukaryota; Metazoa; Arthropoda; Insecta; Hymenoptera; Apidae. RNAcentral also lists the same sequence under 1 other name.